GUGCUUUGACCUCUUUCUCCCCUCUCUCUCCAGAUGAAAUCUCGCGUCUUGUGACGGCCGGCCGCCCAACAACCUGCCCACUUGACCCUAUCCCCUCCUCUCUUCUCCAGACCAUUUCCGGAGACCUUCUCCCCUACCUCACCUCGCUCAUCAACGCAUCCUUGACCGCUGGCUACGUCCCUUCCGUCUUCAAGAGAGCGAGAGUUGCACCCCUUCUGAAAAAACCUACACUCGAUCCCUCCGAUGUCAACAACUACAGACCUAUCUGCUGCCUUUGAUACCGUGAACCAUCAGAUCCUCCUCUCCACCCUCUCCGAGCUGGGCAUCUCCGGCACCGCGCACGCUUGGAUUGCGUCCUACCUGACAGGUCACUCCUACCAGGUGGCGAAUCGCAUCUCUGCAUGUCUGGCAGACAUAUCAGUGUGGAUGACGGAUCCCCACCUCAAGCUGAACCUCGGCAAGACGGAGCUGCUCUUCCUAACGGGGAAGGACUGCCCGUUCCAUGAUCUCGCCAUCACGGUUGACAACUCCCUUGUGUCCUCCUCCCAGAGUGCUAAGAGCCUUGGCGUGACCCUGGACAACACCCUGUCGUUCUCCACCAACAUCAAGGCGGUGACCCGAUCCUGUAGGUUCAUGCUCUACAACAUUCGCAGAGUACGACCCUGCCUCACACAGGAAGCGGCGCAGGUCCUAAUCCAGGCACUUGUCAUCUCCC
Molecule: long non-coding RNA, 715 nt
Filed under: Salmo salar (Atlantic salmon)
Lineage: Eukaryota; Metazoa; Chordata; Actinopteri; Salmoniformes; Salmonidae
Description: lncRNA (ENSSSAG00000114730.1)
Source: RNAcentral